GGUAAAAUGGCUGAGUAAAGCAUUAGACUGUAAAUCUAAG
This 40-nucleotide transfer RNA is filed under the name Hylobates lar (common gibbon). RNAcentral's name for it is "partial tRNA-Tyr". The record is from RNAcentral. Lineage: Eukaryota; Metazoa; Chordata; Mammalia; Primates; Hylobatidae.